Molecule: long non-coding RNA, 1018 nt
Organism: Paramisgurnus dabryanus
Lineage: Eukaryota; Metazoa; Chordata; Actinopteri; Cypriniformes; Cobitidae
Source: RefSeq, a predicted model, not a curated record
CUCCAGUGGGCAUCCUUUAUCCAUCUAGACCCUCAUACAGAUGGUUGGAGUUUUGAUACACCUAAAGUACCAUGCAAGAGCACUCAUUUUCACUCUUGAGACCAUGGUGUGACCUGCAAGGUCGAAUGGAGACUGUAGACGAGACAAUCUUGGAGUCACCUGCAUUCACUGGUCCAGUUGUUAGUCCAAUUACAGAUGGAGAUUAUAGAAGAGGAUGAUGUCUUUUCUCCAACAUCUUUCUAGACUGAUAAAAGAUCUAGACAGGCUCAAACAAAAGUUAACAGACAGAGGGGCUUAUAUAGAGAAUGGUGAGCAGCUACACAUAAAAGAAGAACAUGGAGAAUCUGCCCAGAGGUGUUAACCAGCAAUGCAGCUAUACAACUAAAUUGAUGCAGGCGGAAACAAUAAUGCAGCUGCUGCAGAUGAAUCCGUCCGUCUACCACUGAAGGAGAUGCGGAAAUUCCUUCCAAGAUGUUCUUUGCCCGAGGAAGCAUUUGAUUAAUUUAAAGAUUUUGUGUUUCUUUGUAUGUUAUAGAAAAACGUUGCUUUUUUUGCAUACACUCGUGUAAAUAUGCAUCUUAUGAAUGUUUUCCUUUGUCUAAUUUUAAUAAAUUUUACGCAAUCAACUGCCUGUUUUAUUGAAAAUACUGUUUUAAUUGUUGUCAAUGAUAUAUUGUAAUAAUAUGUGUGUAUAACUGUGUAGAUGUAGUUUAGAGCAAUUUAUUUUUAAUGAUCUUUUAAUCGUCUUUUAAAGCUCUCAGAAACAUCUUAGAAAGAGCUCGAUUAAAGCUCUUAUAAAGAUCUUUUAAAGAUCUAAGAAACAUCUUGGAAAUAUCUUAGAAAGAUCUGCUAACCAUCAUUUUAAAUAUCAAGCGUCUUGAAAAGAUCUUAAAAGCGUCUUCAAAACGGCUGGGCUCGUACGUCUCAGAUACGUAAUUCAUAUGGGCAAACGACCUUUAUAAUACGUUUUCCAGACGGAAUGGAAAUCUGAGUGAUUACCUCGCAGAUACGUAUCUGA